Molecule: ribosomal RNA, 404 nt
Filed under: uncultured bacterium
Lineage: Bacteria
Description: partial 16S ribosomal RNA
Rfam family: Bacterial small subunit ribosomal RNA
Source: RNAcentral
CCUACGGGAGGCAGCAGUAGGGAAUCUUCCACAAUGGACGAAAGUCUGAUGGAGCAACGCCGCGUGAGUGAAGAAGGCUUUCGGCUCGUAAAGCUCUGUUGGCAGGGAAGAAAGAUAUAUGUAUUAUCUCGCCUUUAUUUGACGGUAAUUGCUUAGAAAGUCACGGCUAACUACGUGCCAGCAGCCUCGGUAAUACGUAGGUGGCAAGCGUUGUCCGGAUUUAUUGGGCGUAAAGCGAGUGCAGGCGGUCCAAUAAGUCUGAUGUGAAAUCCCUCGGCUCAACCGGGGAAUUGCAUCAGAAACUGGUGGACUUGAGUGCAGAAGAGGGGAGUAGAACUCCAUGUGUAGCGGUGGAAUGCGUAGAGAUAUGGAAGAACACCAGUGGCGAAGGCGGCUCUCUGGUC